Molecule: ribosomal RNA, 253 nt
Filed under: uncultured bacterium
Lineage: Bacteria
Description: partial 16S ribosomal RNA
Rfam family: Bacterial small subunit ribosomal RNA
Source: RNAcentral
UACAGAGGGUGCUAGCGUUAAUCGGAAUUACUGGGCGUAAAGCGUGUGUAGGUGGUUAGAUAAGUUAGAUGUGAAAUCCCCGGGCUUAACCUGGGGACUGCGUUUAAGACUGUUUAGCUUGAGUACUGUAGAGGAUAGUGGAAUUUCCAGUGUAGCGGUGAAAUGCGUAGAUAUUGGAAGGAACACCAGUGGCGAAGGCGACUAUCUGGACAGAUACUGACACUGAGACACGAAAGCGUGGGGAGCAAACAGG